AACUGAUGAAAAUGGUUAUCACUUAAAAUUUUAGUUGGUAGACCCUAAACCCUGGUAUACAAAAUACAAUUUUUAAGCUCCCAAGAACCUAUCGUUAUCUUUUGAACUACGUCGAUAGUAUACGACUGUUAACCUCAGGGUUUCUGAUUUUUGUUUACUUUAGAAAAUACGUACUCAGUUUUCAUCUGUUACACUCACCCUGAGCCCGUAGUAUUGCACUUUUGCCGCGACCGGCAGUCGGCUUAUUGCCCUGCCGUUUGAACAUUGGCGCGUUCUUCAACAUGUCAGGCAAUAUCAGGAACCUGAUCUUGGAGCCUCGAAUGUAAACAUUUUCCAGUUGC
Long non-coding RNA from Manduca sexta (tobacco hornworm), 341 nucleotides. RefSeq lists it as uncharacterized. The record is from RefSeq and is a predicted model, not a curated record. NCBI's taxonomy places the organism in Eukaryota, Metazoa, Arthropoda, Insecta, Lepidoptera, Sphingidae. The transcript is spliced from 2 exons.